GUCUACGAGUCGGGUUGU
Molecule: small nuclear RNA, 18 nt
Filed under: Arabidopsis thaliana (thale cress)
Lineage: Eukaryota; Viridiplantae; Streptophyta; Magnoliopsida; Brassicales; Brassicaceae
Description: snRNA_03661
Source: RNAcentral